Transfer RNA from Macrophomina phaseolina MS6, 128 nucleotides. It matches the Rfam family "tRNA". Rfam says of the family: Transfer RNA (tRNA) molecules are approximately 80 nucleotides in length. Their secondary structure includes four short double-helical elements and three loops (D, anti-codon, and T loops). The record is from Rfam. Lineage: Eukaryota; Fungi; Ascomycota; Dothideomycetes; Botryosphaeriales; Botryosphaeriaceae.
GCGAUGGUGGUGUAGUUGGUUAUCACGUCAGUCUAACAAAAUUAAUGCAAGAAAUUGCCGCAAAUUGCGGCAAGAAGCAGCUCUUGUUAGGUCACUGAAGGUCCUGGGUUCAAGUCCCGGCCGUCGUA